GUCGAACGAUGAUGCCCAGCUUGCUGGGUGGAUUAGUGGCGAACGGGUGAGUAACACGUGAGUAACCUGCCCCUGACUCUGGGAUAAGCGUUGGAAACGACGUCUAAUACUGGAUAUGAUCACUGGCCGCAUGGUCUGGUGGUGGAAAGAUUUUUUGGUUGGGGAUGGACUCGCGGCCUAUCAGCUUGUUGGUGAGGUAAUGGCUCACCAAGGCGACCGACGGGUAGCCGGCCUGAGAGGGUGACCGGCCACACUGGGACUGAAACACGGCCCAGACUCCUACGGGAGGCAGCAGUGGGGAAUAUUGCACAAUGGGCGAAAGCCUGAUGCAGCAACGCCGCGUGAGGGAUGACGGCCUUCGGGUUGUAAACCUCUUUUAGUAGGGAAGAAGCGAAAGUGACGGUACCUGCAGAAAAAGCACCGGCUAACUACGUGCCAGCAGCCGUGGUAAUACGUAGGGUGCAAGCGUUGUCCGGAAUUAUUGGGCGUAAAGAGCUCGUAAGCGGAUUGUCGCGUUUGCUGUGAAAUCCCGAGGCUCAACCUCGGGCUUGCAGUGGAUACGGGCAGACUAGAGUGCGGUAGGGGAGAU
RNAcentral lists this ribosomal RNA (589 nucleotides) under Curtobacterium sp. RNAcentral's name for it is "bacterial SSU rRNA". It matches the Rfam family "Bacterial small subunit ribosomal RNA", at positions 61 to 661 of the family's 1533-position model. Lineage: Bacteria; Bacillati; Actinomycetota; Actinomycetes; Micrococcales; Microbacteriaceae. The record is from RNAcentral.